AGAGUUUGAUCAUGGCUCAGGAUAAACGCUGGCGGCGUGCCUAACACAUGCAAGUCGAACGCCCUUCGCAAGAAGGGAGUGGCGGACGGGUGAGGAACACGUGGGGAUCUACCUUGAGGUGAGGAAUACCAGCGAGAAAUCGCUGACAAAACCGCAUAGCCUCGGCAACGAGGAAAGUCGCAAGACGCCGCAAGAUGACC
This 200-nucleotide ribosomal RNA is filed under the name uncultured bacterium. Its description in RNAcentral is "partial 16S ribosomal RNA". It matches the Rfam family "Bacterial small subunit ribosomal RNA", at positions 8 to 230 of the family's 1533-position model. The record is from RNAcentral.